This 465-nucleotide ribosomal RNA is filed under the name uncultured bacterium. RNAcentral's name for it is "partial 16S ribosomal RNA". It matches the Rfam family "Bacterial small subunit ribosomal RNA", at positions 28 to 507 of the family's 1533-position model. The record is from RNAcentral.
GAUGAACGCUGGCGGCGUGCUUAACACAUGCAAGUCGUACGGUAAGGCCCUUUCGGGGGUACCCGAGUGGCGAACGGGUGAGUAACACGUGAGUAACCUGCCCACAACUUUGGGAUAACGCUAGGAAACUGGUGCUAAUACUGGAUAUGUGCUCCUGCUGCAUGGUGGGGGUUGGAAAGCUCCGGCGGUUGUGGAUGGACUCGCGGCCUAUCAGCUUGUUGGUGGGGUAGUGGCCUACCAAGGCGGCGACGGGUAGCCGGCCUGAGAGGGUGACCGGCCACAUUGGGACUGAGAUACGGCCCAGACUCCUACGGGAGGCAGCAGUGGGGAAUAUUGCACAAUGGGCGCAAGCCUGAUGCAGCAACGCCGCGUGCGGGAUGACGGCCUUCGGGUUGCAAACCGCUUUCAGCAGGGACGAAGCUUUUUGUGACGGUACCUGCAGAAGAAGCACCGGCUAACUACGUG